Molecule: transfer RNA, 72 nt
Filed under: bacterium
Lineage: Bacteria
Description: tRNA-Thr
Rfam family: tRNA
About the family: Transfer RNA (tRNA) molecules are approximately 80 nucleotides in length.
Source: RNAcentral
GCCGGCAUAGCUCAGUGGUAGAGCAACUGUUUUGUAAACAGGUGGUCGCGGGUUCAAAUACUGCUGCCGGCU